Molecule: ribosomal RNA, 195 nt
Filed under: Phrynoderma hexadactylum (Indian five-fingered frog)
Lineage: Eukaryota; Metazoa; Chordata; Amphibia; Anura; Dicroglossidae
Description: partial 12S ribosomal RNA
Source: RNAcentral
GGCAGUCUGAAUACAUUGACUAGCUUGUUCACCACAUUGCUCCGACAGAGAACUACAAGUGAAAACUGUAAAAGUCAAAGGACUUGGCGGUGCUUCAUUAGCCUGUAAAGGAUCGAUUUUAUAAUCGAUGCUUAGGUUUCUGGCACCUUUACUUGCACAUUCAACAUCAUUACCAAACAAUUUAAAAAAAACAAA